GACGAACGCUGGCGGCAGGCUUAACACAUGCAAGUCGAGCGAGCGGCGGACGGGUGAGUAAUGUCUGGGAAACUGCCUGAUGGAGGGGGAUAACUACUGGAAACGGUCGCUAAUACCGCAUACCAUCAGAUGUGCCCAGAUGGGAUUAGCUAGUAGGUGGGGUAAUGGCUCACCUAGGCGACGAUCCCUAGCUGGUCUGAGAGGAUGACCGGCCAAACUGGAACGGAGAACCGGCCCAGACUCCUACGGUAGGCAGCAGGGGGGAAUAUUGCACAAUGGGCGAAAGCCUGAUGCAGCCAGGCCGCGUGUGUGAAGAAGGCCUUCGGGUUGUAAAGCACUUUCAGCGAGGAGGCGUUACUCGCAGAAGAAGCACCGGCUAACUCCGUGCCAGCAGCCGCGGUAAUUC
RNAcentral lists this ribosomal RNA (406 nucleotides) under uncultured bacterium. Its description in RNAcentral is "partial 16S ribosomal RNA". It matches the Rfam family "Bacterial small subunit ribosomal RNA", at positions 28 to 526 of the family's 1533-position model. The record is from RNAcentral.